AAAAUUUUGUUCAAAACUAUUUUUCGAUGUCCCAUGCCAUAUCAGAAAAAUAGUGCAUGUUUUCUUGCCUGAAAUGGAGAAAACUCUCCAAAUUGCUUUUAAAUAAUGUCCAAUCUCAGGCCAAUAAGCACUGUAUUAAGUAGUAACAGACUGUGAGGAGACAGAGAGAGACAGAGACUCAGAGACAGAGACAGAGAUUCUAGAAUAUGCAAAGACAACAAAUUCCAGAAGGCUAUUACAAAAUGGAAGCAAGAACUAACGUCUGCCAAGGUAGAUCAUCUGAAUACCUGGACUCUCUAAGGAAUGCUCAUUGUGUUAGGUCUCUUUUUAGGAAACUCUGUGGUGUUGAGAUAGGCCACUGGGAGUUCUACUUGCAUGAUUUUACUCUGACAUGGUGGGCCGCUAUUCAGGCAGUGUCAACAUACUUGCAGUGAUGGAAGAUGUUUGGGUUUAUUCUGAGUGGAAAAUGAUGUAUUUUUGUUUGUUUGUUUGUUUAUCUGUACUUUGGAAGUCCUGAUUGAGGAGCCUGAAGAUAUCCACACUGAGCAUUGAUCUGUGCAUCAGUAAGUCUGGAUCUAAAGAGGAAGAUCCACACUGGAGCACAGGUCUUCUACAAUGUAGUCAUCGUGCCCUGUGUGGGGGCCACCAUGGGAUGGGCCCCAAGAACAUGGUGUGAACAACAACAGCAAAAAUGGUCUUGACCUCAGAGAGUUCAGGUCUACUCUGAUGGGAAAGAAAAUAUUACACAGUGCCCACCUUUCCGAUGGAGCUGAAGGAGACGGAGUCAGAGGGACUUAAAACAGUAACAACAACAACAAAGUGACAUGGAAUCCAUGAAAGGGAGUGUGACAGAUAAGCAACUUUUCAACUGUAUUCGCAUUUAUAGAGUGUUUUAGGAAGGUAAAUAUUGAAAGGAACACAACGAAGUAAAUGAAAUUAGAAAUGCACAUUUUAUUUUGUGAAAAUACAAUUUUUUGUCUGUACUAGGACUAUAUCAACCAGAAAGAUAGCUCUCCAUGAGACAUCAUGACUCUCUAAAAGAUGCUUAUUGUACAGAUGAUGUUUUUCUAAAUUUACAGAUCUUUUUCACCUUUAGUGUUUAUGCCUGGUAUACAUUUUAUCCUAUAUUAUCUUGCACUUUUAUCAUUCAUGAAACAUUCAGCAAGUCUUUACUAGCUCGUUGGUGAAAGCAAAAUGAAUACACAUUUCUCCCCAUUUGGCAGACAUUUUCUGAGGGUGUAAAUUUAAUAAAGUUAUACUGAGAACUUCUUAACUACCUCCUAUACACAAGAUAUGCACACACUGAGAGAAUGGUGCAGAUGUGUUAAUUAGUAUACAUAGAAAAGUAAAUAACAAUUCAUGGCAAUCAUUGUAUGUAGGCAAUCAGUAGGGUUUCUAUUAGAUUCAUUAGUUCUUUCAUUCACUCUUCCAAUUAUUCAUUUGAAAUAUAUCUUCACAUUUCAUUCAAAACCUAAGAUUCUCUGAUUGUAUGAUAUGAUGGCUUCAAAUCCACUCACUUGUCUAGGUUUACCUUGAACUCUUCUUUAUGAUGUGUGUGCUCUCUUUCCAAACAGCCCUAAGAAAAGAGGUCAGAGGACAUAAUUUCUCUUUCUUCAGAGGCGUAUUCUCUGAAACUCCUGGAAGCAUGCUAUGAAAGCAAGUAAUAUUCUCUCCAUAUCUACUUGCUAAAAGAAUUAGUGUAUAUAUGCACAUAAACAUACAAACAGAGAUACAUAAAUACAUGUAUUUUCUAAAUGUGGUGUCAAUAUCUCAUCAAUAUUCUGUAUCUCAUCCUGGAUUGAGUUACUUAUCCCAAGGAGUCUCUUGCUAAACUGUAGAAUAAAGUAUCACUCAGGGCAUUUUGAUAUAUCCAAAUUAAUGCAGCUAUUUUAAUGCCACCAUUUUUAUCCAGGAGGUUGUUUGUAGAAUUUUUUUUAUUUGGUCCCAUUAAAAUAUGAACUCACUGCAUUUCUUUGUUCUUAUUUAUCAGGGAGGCCACUUAAGAGAAGUCAUAAUUAUCAGCCCAUUCUUGAUCCUAUCUCCAACACAAUUCCCAUCCCUCGAGUGAGGUAGGCAAAUAAAUUUUCCCAUUGUGCCUUCAUUUGUAUUUAUGCUUAUUUCCUGUCUAUUCAAAAUUCUCCAUAUUUUCAGUCCAAAUUGCAGAAGAAGCUAGUUUGGUUGGCUUAUUUAAUUACUAUUAACUUUACUGAGUAGAGUCAUUUAUGGCUGAACAUGUUAUUGUUCAUCAUGGAAAGUAUGGCUUGGUUACCUUUCAAUAACAAAAGCAUCUGAUCCUGAUCUAAUCAGUGGCCAACUCUGCCUAUAGGAUACUUCACUACUUAUUUCAUAAGCAUUGGUUUGUGGAUAAUGCAGGUUCACAAAGAAACAGAUAUUGGGUAUAGCUUGGCUGACCAAAGGUGCUAAUUUGCCUACAACAACCCCAGUUUGCAUCCGCUGUUUAGCUCUCCCAGCUGUCUAACUCACCUAUCCUUCCUCAAGUAUUAAUGUAGAUACAGUGCCCUUUGUGUCAUUGGUUGCUAUCUUUCUAUAUGCAUAGUUUCAAGGAUGUGCCUAUCUAAAAUGAUCAAACCUACACACAAUUAUUGCCUUCCAAUAAGGAUGGAAUUCAAAGGCAUCUCUGGUUACUAUAUCCACAGAGAAUAUCACAGGCUCCUUUAAAUGCUGUUUGUCUUGGAAUCCACAGUCUCCAUAUGUUGUAUAUUUUUCCUCUAAUUCCAUCAUAAUUCCACCCAGAUGUUACCAGAUCAUCUAUAAGCUAUGGACUACAUAGUAAAUUGAGUUACCAAUACAGUUAGUGAAGAGAGGAUAAUUAGAACACAUGCAAACACUUAUGAACAAUGGCAGUAAUAACCAGGCACAGAUGAAAUCUGAAGUCCUUUUUCUACUUCACAACAGUUUAGCAGUUUUUUUGUUGUUGUUGUUGUUGUUUGUCUCUUAUUUUCUCUGUGGCAUAUUCUUAUAGUCUUUGGCUUUCACCCAGAACCCCAGUUGGCUAUAACUCUUAGUAUAAUGGUGUGAGACAAACCCCUGGUUGUUCAGAAUCCAAGGCCUUUGUGGUCUUGCCUGUGCAAUGCAGUGGUAGACUGUUGUUAACUUUUACCACUGACCAUGGUCAUACAAGAACCAUAGCAGAGAUUCCCCAAGUCCCAAAUUCACCUGCUAUGAAAAUUCACACCUAAGAUGUCUGCAUAGCAUGAUAGCACCUAUGAUCACUUGUUUCUCUAAAAUUACGGAGUUUUGAGAUUGUUAAUGUGCAGUUUUAGUUUCCAACUUAAUGAAAUGUAGGUCUUUUCUCUAGGUUGAAUGAUACUUCUUUUGCCUUUUAUAAUUGUAGAGGAGAAAAAGUAAAGAUUUUGAAAUUUAUCCAUUAAGAAUAAUCAUGAGAGAUUAAAUCCAACACCUCCAAAGCACGGUGUCAAGAUUCAAGUGUUAUUGCAGGGAAAAAAAGAGAUAAUGUUUCAGAUUGCAGACCACAUCUUAGAAGCAAGUUCAUCAGGAAAACCUCAAAAAUCCCAUUUUAAUAAAGACAUUUCACUUCUAGAGCAGUC
This 3569-nucleotide long non-coding RNA is filed under the name Homo sapiens (human). Its description in RNAcentral is "non-protein coding lnc-CELF4-15:1". Lineage: Eukaryota; Metazoa; Chordata; Mammalia; Primates; Hominidae. The record is from RNAcentral.